This 488-nucleotide ribosomal RNA is filed under the name uncultured Gammaproteobacteria bacterium. RNAcentral's name for it is "bacterial SSU rRNA". It matches the Rfam family "Bacterial small subunit ribosomal RNA", at positions 30 to 533 of the family's 1533-position model. Lineage: Bacteria; Pseudomonadati; Pseudomonadota; Gammaproteobacteria. The record is from RNAcentral.
UGAACGCUGGCGGUAUGCUUAACACAUGCAAGUCGAACGGUAGCAUGACUUAGCUUGCUAAGUUGAUGACGAGUGGCGAACGGGUGAGUAACGCGUAGGAAUAUGCCUUAAAGUGGGGGACAACUUGGGGAAACUCAAGCUAAUACCGCAUAAUAUCUUUGGAUAAAAGCUAGGGACCUUCGGGCCUGGCGCUUUAAGAUUAGCCUGCGUCCGAUUAGCUAGUUGGUAGGGUAAAGGCCUACCAAGGCGACGAUCGGUAGCUGGUCUGAGAGGAUGACCAGCCACACUGGAACUGAGACACGGCCCAAACUCCUACGGGAGGCAGCAGUGGGGAAUCUUGCGCAAUGGGCGAAAGCCUGACGCAGCCAUGCCGCGUGAAUGAUGAAGGUCUUAGGAUUGUAAAAUUCUUUCAGCGGGGACGAUAAUGACGGUACCGCAGAAGAAGCCCCGGCUAACUUCGUGCCAGCAGCCGCGGUAAUCUGAUGGCG